GCCCCUAUAGUUUAAUGGAUAAAACUGCGGACUUCUAAGCCGUUGAUCUGGGUUCGAUUCCUGGUAGGGGCG
RNAcentral lists this transfer RNA (72 nucleotides) under Candidatus Kaiserbacteria bacterium. Its description in RNAcentral is "tRNA-Arg". It matches the Rfam family "tRNA". From Rfam's summary of the family: Transfer RNA (tRNA) molecules are approximately 80 nucleotides in length. Their secondary structure includes four short double-helical elements and three loops (D, anti-codon, and T loops). Lineage: Bacteria; Candidatus Kaiseribacteriota. The record is from RNAcentral. RNAcentral also lists the same sequence under 1 other name.